RNAcentral lists this long non-coding RNA (510 nucleotides) under Neodiprion pinetum (white pine sawfly). Its description in RNAcentral is "uncharacterized LOC124214988". Lineage: Eukaryota; Metazoa; Arthropoda; Insecta; Hymenoptera; Diprionidae. The record is from RNAcentral.
AUGAGAGCUGUCAUGGGACAGCCGGUACGAACGAAGUUCCUUACGCUAUAUUACUGCUCAUUGAAUAAAUUAAGAACGUUUAAUUGAAGAAUAAUUAAAUGAAAAAUCAAAUAUAUGAAGGAAUGGUAAUAAAAUCGUACGAAUGUGUUUUUGAAAGAUAUAAAAAGAAAGAGAGGCAAAGUAUAGACGUACGCUGUGAGAGAGCGCGCUGCGGCCCAAAGUAUAGUUGUACGCUGUAGGAGAGAGAAAGAGGGGCGAAGUAUAGUCGUGCGCUGUGAGUGAGAGAGACCGCUGCUGCCGUCUCCCACCCCAAGCGCUGAGACAGAGAGAGAGAGCGCGCGCACACGCUGGAAUAGAGAGAGAGAGAGAGAGGGAGAUCGCGCGCACUAUAGCAAACGAGCACUAUAGCCAAAAAGUGUCGGUUUUUUGGUGUCGUUUUUUUCCGCCUAGCCCCUACGGUGAACGAGCGAUAAGGAACUUCGUUCCAAAAAUAAUUCGUAGAUAAUGAGA